RNAcentral lists this unclassified non-coding RNA (406 nucleotides) under soil metagenome. RNAcentral describes it as "partial contains 5.8S ribosomal RNA, internal transcribed spacer 2, and large subunit ribosomal RNA". The stretch from base 1 to 121 matches the Rfam family "5.8S ribosomal RNA", at positions 35 to 154 of the family's 154-position model. The record is from RNAcentral.
GAUGAAGAACGCAGCGAAAUGCGAUAAGUAAUGUGAAUUGCAGAAUUCAGUGAAUCAUCGAAUCUUUGAACGUACCUUGCGCCCUUUGGCCAUUCCGAAGGGCAUGCCUGUUUGAGUAUCAUGAACACCUCAACUCUUCAUGGUUUUCCGUGAUGAGCUUGGACUUUGGGGGUCUUGCUGGCCUAUGGUCAGCUCCUCUAAAAUAAAUCAGCUUGCCAGUGUUUGGUGGGUAUCACAGGUGUGAUAACUAUCUACGCUUGUGGUUUUCCACCAGGUAACCUUCAGCAGUGGAGGUUCGCUGGAGCUCACAGAUGUGUCUCUCCUCAGUGAGGACAGCUCUUUGAAUGUUUGAUCUCAAAUCAGGUAGGACUACCCGCUGAACUUAAGCAUAUCAAUAAGCGGAGGA